This is a long non-coding RNA of Phacochoerus africanus (Common warthog), 2280 nucleotides long. RefSeq lists it as uncharacterized. Lineage: Eukaryota; Metazoa; Chordata; Mammalia; Artiodactyla; Suidae. The record is from RefSeq and is a predicted model, not a curated record. The transcript is spliced from 2 exons.
UGUCACGGUGGGAAGUUCCCACCAUCCACAUUUUAAUUUAGCAUUCUUGGAGUUCUGUUCCAGGAUGUGGUGCUGCAGGGAGAACAGCUCCAGACUCCGGCUCUUGGUCCACUCCCGCCUUAGACAUGAACCUUCAAGGGCUCAUGCAUAUUGAGUGAAUUCAUCGUCAUCGCACCUGUCAUCUGCUCCUGCUUAAGCCAGAAAUGAAGGGCACAUAUCAAGACUGUGUCUCAGCAUCUCUGUUUUCCAGAGCAACAGUGCCCUGUCCCUGAUGACCCCAUCUGCCGCGGCUGAUCGCACACUGACCUUGGCUAGUCUCAAAUCCAUUCAGCAGGACCUGCGUGCAUUCUUGUAGACAGAAGCUGGAGGAACAGAUGGAGGACUUGGCCAUGGAACAUGCUUAUUAUCACGGAGAAUGUUCCUCCUCUUCCCGACUUGGUGCCCCAAGCAUGGGGGUGGGUUGAGGCGAGCAGAAGAUCCUAGUGACUCACAAGCUUCCAGGGAAGGAAUCCACAGAUGGCAGCCACUGAGGUCACAUUUUCCCCCCACCACCGCUUGAGCACCGUGUUCUUGACAUUGGUGCAGGGCUGCUGUGUUGCUAAGCACCAGGCAAGGAAGGCGUUGCAGAUUUCAGAUUUCUGGUGAUGCCACAUGCCUAAGUGGCACCAGACAGGCACACCGCGUGCUUUGGUGACAUGACAGAUGGUGAGGAGAGGCGUGACAGAGCGAUCCGUGUGUGUGCAUCUGUGGAAACUUGCCACUGCUCAUGGGUCAGGCCACUGAUUAGAUGGCACAUCCUCUUAUUUAUACAUUAUCUACAAAUGGACAUCCUAGGGUUACUCAUGGUGGGUAAUAAUCACCCACUCUGAAGCUCAGGAGGUAUGGUCCAGCUGAGGCUGUGGCUGGCAUCCAAGAGGAGAAGGGAGCAGCUCUGGGUGGGCCCAGUGGGUGGCCAAGCCCAGGCCUGGCUGUCAGAGCGGAGUAUGACUCUGGGGUGUGCAAGUCAGAGCCACUGAGAUUAGCCUCAGACAAACCAUCCCGAGGUCUCAUCUGUUUUCCACAGUUGCUUCUCUACUCGGCACCAUGUCUGCAUCUCAUGACAACCAUCAUUUCAUCCAUCUGCCCCUUUCCUAUCAAGAAAAUAGAUUGGAUGUGUGUGCUCAGAGGCAAAGUCAGAGUUCUGAAAUGCACCUCAGCAACUGUACCAGAUUUGAUGAAUUUAGCAGCUUUAAGCCAGAAACAAAAGCAAAAAAAAAAGCAAACGCUAUGCUUUUUUACCUUAAUCAAUAAUACUCUUUUAAAUAGAAGGGCUUCAGAAGUUACUAAAUUCACCACAUCCCUGUCAGAAACCUAAUGCAUGCUGCUCAGCUGUAGAAAAUUAAGACAAUGAUGACACCGGUAUAAGCCAUUAUUAGCAAAGACCUUCCUGUGCUACUACUACGGCUACUCUUUUUAACCUAGAGUUCAGUCUACAGGAGCCUAAGGAAAGCUCUUGGUUACCAUCAGGAUCAUCAAAUAACACCGUUAAAAACUAUUUUGUUCUUAUCUAGCCCAACUCCUCCAUUUCUCAGCGUGGAAACAGAGAGGGAGGGAAUAUGUGCUCUUGGACAGCUCAAGACUGGUGUUGGCUCCACGUUGGGUUUGGGUGAACUUGAUGUUGGGUUUUGGGCAGGGCCAAUCAUACUGCUGGCUCCAGGAGGCCCGCAGCAUGGAUGGGGAGUAAGAAAACUAGGAUGGAAAAUAAGGGGAGGAAAGACAAAAGUGGAAGAGGAAAAGAAGGAGGGAGAAAGCCAAGAAAGAGAAACAGGCAUGCAAAUUAGGGGGACAGGAGAAAGGCUAAAAGCUCCUUCACUGCAGGUACCACUGGGGGGCUCCAUGACACACCCUUGUAGCUGCUCUACUGCAAUGACGUUCUGAAGUGGCCAUGGCAACGAACAGAUUUGGAGUGUCCCUGUCAUCAAAAGGCAGCAGAACUCAGGGGUUUCAACUGUGCACUCUGGAGCCAGAAUGCCCAGGCUUGAAUCCCAGCUCUGUCGCUAGCUGUGUGACCUCUGCAAGUGACUUAGCCUCUCUUUCCAUUUUCUAAAAUGAGGAUAAUAGCACACACUGCAUGGGAUGGCUAGGGGAUUCAAUGAGUUAAUAAAUGUGAAGUGCUUAUGAUAGUGCUGGGCACCCCAGAAGGUCUGUGAUCAUCAAGGGAUGGGAAAGACAGUCUAUGUUAUUCUUUAUUAGUUGAUUCUAUUUAUAGUGUUCUUUUUAUUAAAGUAUAGUUGAUUUACA